Molecule: non-coding RNA, 810 nt
Organism: Dermacentor albipictus
Lineage: Eukaryota; Metazoa; Arthropoda; Arachnida; Ixodida; Ixodidae
Source: RefSeq, a predicted model, not a curated record
UGUUGCUACUGGUCAAUGUGGCCAGCGCAAUUACUAUUGAAAAGGCUAAAAACAAGUACAGGUCACCUUAUGCUUUGUCAUCUAAAAACGCAUACCUGAUGGCUUUAUGAAGGUGGUGCGUUAAUAUUAAGUUUACAGAAAGCGAUCGCUAAGUCCGUGACUUAUGUAAAUCACGAUGUACGCAUUCAUGCAAUAAAGGAUGAUGCGAAUUUCGGUUUCGAAUCUGUUUUUUGGAAGCGUAGUCGUUUCGUUUAGGUUUGACAUGCGAUCGCGCGUCGACAUCGGACGCUAUGGCACACUCGUGCCUUAUGUGCCACCGAAGCCCCGAAGUGGUCUGGCAUAUACCUUCACAUACAAUGCCUACGCCUAGCCACAGCAGCUCCCUCAUACAGACUCCGCAAGCCAAGAGGCCGUGGAGGCAAAUGCAGGCAGCCAGCACACCUCGAACAGCCACCUUGACUGCGGGUGUGUCACCCUAGUCGCCAAGGAAACAUUUGAGGGAAAGUGACAGGCAACGUGAACAGCCACUUCUCCAUGUAAACAAUACUCUUUCUCUCGGAUGACUCCUACGCCUCGCCACGCCAGCACACUUGUGCACAAAGAUGCCGCAGAGGCACGUGCAGGUCAGAGGCAAGAAGCAGUGGCACUGGUGUCGACAUUUACCCAAUUUCUUUUUCUUACACUGAGGCAGCCAGCACACCUCGAACAGCCACCUUGACUGCGGGUGUGUUAGUAGAUUCCUGUUGUACAUAUGCUCAUAAUAAACUUCAGUAAACUUGAACUUCAUAAUAAACUUGAAGGCAAAUGGGA